Long non-coding RNA from Leopardus geoffroyi (Geoffroy's cat), 447 nucleotides. RefSeq lists it as uncharacterized. Lineage: Eukaryota; Metazoa; Chordata; Mammalia; Carnivora; Felidae. The transcript is spliced from 2 exons. The record is from RefSeq and is a predicted model, not a curated record.
CAUGGAUACAGCUGGGUCCUAGACGUAGCUUCGGCUGAAUCCUGAGCAGGGCCACCAGGUCGAGGGGUCUGUGAAGUGCUCCUGGCUUUCAGGACUGAGAGCAGGACAAGCAAACUGUUGCCGGAGGAGGACGGCUUGGACUGACCAGGCGUGCUCCACCCUGCAGAUUCCUCUCUUCAGCUCCUGGAGCAAGAUGAGGGAGAGGACAGCAAGGCUGAUUGGUUCCAGACACACCUGAGCCAUUCGGAGAGUUGUGGUUAGGGGCCAUGUGACCCUAGAGUCAGCAUGCUUAGGUGUGAAACCAGCUCUGUCCCUCGUAAGCUAUGUGCAAGUGAUUUCCUCUAUCCUUGGGCUGAUAAUACUGGUUUCACGAGUUGUUGUGAAGUUUCAUGGAGCCCUUGGAAUAGGUCUGGCGUGCAGUAAAUACUCAAUGAACAUAACUACUCA